AAAUGUAUUUAAAUUUUUUUUUUUUAAGGAGAAUUGCCAGGAAAAAAAAAUAUCAAGAUUUGGGGGAAUUAACCACAUAGAAGGAAGGUGUGUUAACUUGGGCGCUUCUUGGAUUCUACCCUGAGGAGGAGGCGCAUGGUGAGAGGAGAGGUUCCUUUCAUCCAAGCAGAGUCUAACCUGGAGGAAAAAAAACUGAGGCUGAGGAUCGCUGGAAGAGGCAGCAGGAAGAAGCAAGUUGAGCAGGGAACCUUCUGGUGUGAGGGAGCCUCUCCUUACCCUCCCACCUCAAGAAGCAGCAGCCUGACCCAAAACUUCCUGAAGAUUUUUAACCUCCAGAGCCAGUGGAACUGAGCCACCUCCAUGGUCUUUGCUGCAGGUACCACCACCUCCAGUCUGAGUGUUUGCUAACCAAGUCUGGGAUCCUACAGCCAGCGGCCUCCAUGGGGCCCCCAAAUGGAACAGGAUUGUUUCUUUGGUGGGACUGGUUGGUGCUGUGACCAUUUGGCUAGAUCUUCCCCCACUCUCUUUUUUUCAUCAGGCAUAUUUUUUUUUACCCACCCCUUUCCUUGACAGUCUGCUUCCUUUGAUUUUUCCAAAAGAAGAAAAGAAGAAAGAAACUGGGUAACUGCUGGACUUUUCUAUAAUGAGAUGGGAAAGUGCUUUCUAAAACAGAAUUUUUUUCCCUAAGAAAAAAAGUAAACAAAUCAAUCUAAGCAAUAUUAUCUGGGCUGGAAACCGGGUGCCCCUGUUUACUGAAGUUCCUUGAGGACAAAAAAAAAUCAUUAGUUUAAUGCAGGCUUUUAAAAGUGUGCUGGAAAAUAAAGGUUCAAGCUGUCACAGGACUUUGUGUAUUUCUUCCGAAACUUCUGACUGCAUCCCCCCAAGCUCACCAAAUCUGUCUUCUCAACUCCUCACCAUCACUUUUCAUAGAAUCUUUAGAUU
Odocoileus virginianus texanus is the source of this 942-nucleotide non-coding RNA. NCBI's taxonomy places the organism in Eukaryota, Metazoa, Chordata, Mammalia, Artiodactyla, Cervidae. The record is from RefSeq and is a predicted model, not a curated record.